CCUACGGGUGGCUGCAGUGAGGAAUAUUGGUCGAUGGACGAGAGUCUGAACCAGCCAAGUAGCGUGAAGGAUGACUGCCCUAUGGGUUGUAAACUUCUUUUAUAUGGGAAUAAAAUGUUCCACGUGUGGGAUUUUGUAUGUACCCUAUGAAUAAGGAUCGGCUAACUCCGUGCCAGCAGCCGCGGUAAUCCGGAGGAUCCGCGCGUUAUCCGGAUUUAUUGGGGUUAAAGGGAGCGUAGGUGGAUUGAUAAGUCAGUUGUGAAAGUUUGCGGCUCAACCGUAAAAUUGCAGUUGAAACUGGCAGUCUGGAGAACAGGAGAGGUGGGCGGAAUGCGUGGGGUAGCGGUGAAAUGCUUAGAUAUCACGAAGAACUCCGAUGGCGAAGGCAGCUCACUGGACUGGAACUGACACUGAGGCUCGAAAGUGUGGGUAUCAAACAGGAUUAGAUACCCGGGUAGUC
Molecule: ribosomal RNA, 460 nt
Filed under: uncultured bacterium
Lineage: Bacteria
Description: partial 16S ribosomal RNA
Rfam family: Bacterial small subunit ribosomal RNA
Source: RNAcentral